GCUGCGUUCUUCAUCGAUGCCAGAACCAAGAGAUCCGUUGUUGAAAGAAG
Molecule: ribosomal RNA, 50 nt
Filed under: Plenodomus lingam (blackleg of rapeseed fungus)
Lineage: Eukaryota; Fungi; Ascomycota; Dothideomycetes; Pleosporales; Leptosphaeriaceae
Description: Leptosphaeria maculans (blackleg of rapeseed fungus) 5.8S ribosomal RNA
Source: RNAcentral